ACGACUCUCGGCAACGGAUAUCUCGGCUCUCGCAUCGAUGAAGAACGUAGCGAAAUGCGAUACCUGGUGUGAAUUGCAGAAUCCCGCGAACCAUCGAGUCUUUGAACGCAAGUUGCGCCCGAGGCCACCCGGUCGAGGGCACGCCUGCCUGGGCGUCACGC
RNAcentral lists this ribosomal RNA (161 nucleotides) under Areca vestiaria. RNAcentral describes it as "5.8S rRNA". It matches the Rfam family "5.8S ribosomal RNA". From Rfam's summary of the family: 5.8S ribosomal RNA (5.8S rRNA) is a component of the large subunit of the eukaryotic ribosome. It is transcribed by RNA polymerase I as part of the 45S precursor that also contains 18S and 28S rRNA. Functionally, it is thought that 5.8S rRNA may be involved in ribosome translocation. Lineage: Eukaryota; Viridiplantae; Streptophyta; Magnoliopsida; Arecales; Arecaceae. The record is from RNAcentral.